Molecule: ribosomal RNA, 527 nt
Filed under: uncultured bacterium
Lineage: Bacteria
Description: bacterial SSU rRNA
Rfam family: Bacterial small subunit ribosomal RNA
Source: RNAcentral
AGAGUUUGAUCCUGGCUCAGAGUGAACGCUGGCGGUAGGCCUAACACAUGCAAGUCGAACGGCAGCACAGGAGAGCUUGCUCUCUGGGUGGCGAGUGGCGGACGGGUGAGGAAUACAUCGGAAUCUACUCUGUCGUGGGGGAUAACGUAGGGAAACUUACGCUAAUACCGCAUACGACCUACGGGUGAAAGCAGGGGAUCUUCGGACCUUGCGCGAUUGAAUGAGCCGAUGUCGGAUUAGCUAGUUGGCGGGGUAAAGGCCCACCAAGGCGACGAUCCGUAGCUGGUCUGAGAGGAUGAUCAGCCACACUGGUACUGAGACACGGUCCAGACUCCUACGGGAGGCAGCAGUAGGGAAUAUUGGACAAUGGGCGCAAGCCUGAUCCAGCCAUACCGCGUGGGUGAAGAAGGCCUUCGGGUUGUAAAGCCCUUUUGUUGGGAGAGAAAUCCAGCUGGCUAAUACCCGGUUGGGAUGACGGUACCCAAAGAAUAAGCACCGGCUAACUUCGUGCCAGCAGCCGCGGUAAU